Molecule: ribosomal RNA, 468 nt
Filed under: uncultured bacterium
Lineage: Bacteria
Description: partial 16S ribosomal RNA
Rfam family: Bacterial small subunit ribosomal RNA
Source: RNAcentral
GAUGAACGCUGGCGGCGUGCUUAACACAUGCAAGUCGAACGGUGAAGGCGGAGCUUGCUCUGCUGGAUCAGUGGCGAACGGGUGAGUAACACGUGAGCAAUCUGCCCCUGACUCUGGGAUAAGCGCUGGAAACGGCGUCUAAUACUGGAUACGAGCUGCGAAGGCAUCUUCAGCAGCUGGAAAGAACUUCGGUCAGGGAUGAGCUCGCGGCCUAUCAGCUUGUUGGUGAGGUAACGGCUCACCAAGGCGUCGACGGGUAGCCGGCCUGAGAGGGUGACCGGCCACACUGGGACUGGGACACGGCCCAGACUCCUACGGGAGGCAGCAGUGGGGAAUAUUGCACAAUGGGCGAAAGCCUGAUGCAGCAACGCCGCGUGAGGGACGACGGCCUUCGGGUUGUAAACCUCUUUUAGCAGGGAAGAAGCGAAAGUGACGGUACCUGCAGAAAAAGCGCCGGCUAACUACGUG